Molecule: RNase P RNA, 327 nt
Filed under: Candidatus Bathyarchaeota archaeon
Lineage: Archaea; Thermoproteati; Candidatus Bathyarchaeota
Also listed under: 1 other name
Description: RNase P RNA component
Rfam family: Archaeal RNase P
About the family: Ribonuclease P (RNase P) is a ubiquitous endoribonuclease, found in archaea, bacteria and eukarya as well as chloroplasts and mitochondria. Its best characterised activity is the generation of mature 5'-ends of tRNAs by cleaving the 5'-leader elements of precursor-tRNAs.
Source: RNAcentral
GUGAGUGGUGGAGCAGGCGCCGGGCAGGGGAUACCCCCUGCCUGAGGAAGCCCACCCCCAUUGUGGCACCGCAACCCCCUUAUUCUUGGGGGUAGGAUGAGAAUCCUAGCAUAGCACAGAAACGACACCCCUUCCAGUCAGAUGAAGAUGAUGUAGCAUAGGCCUUGCAAAAGGCCGAGCAAGCUAUUGAUGAGGCUGGAAGACUGGUUGCAACGGGCUAGCUUGCGGGGGUAAGGCCAAAAAGGAGCCUAUGAGGGCCACAUGAGGCUCGGGUAGGCCGCUUAGACGAAUCCUGCUGAAAACAAAAGGUGGGCUACCACCACACAC